Molecule: ribosomal RNA, 406 nt
Filed under: uncultured bacterium
Lineage: Bacteria
Description: partial 16S ribosomal RNA
Rfam family: Bacterial small subunit ribosomal RNA
Source: RNAcentral
AUUGAACGCUGGCGGCAGGCCUAACACAUGCAAGUCGAACGAGUGGCGGACGGGUGAGUAAUGUCUGGGAAACUGCCUGAUGGAGGGGGAUAACUACUGGAAACGGUAGCUAAUACCGCAUACAAUCAGAUUUGCCAAGAUGGGAUUAGCUAGUUGGGGGGGUAACGGCUCACCAGGGCGACGACCCCUAGCUGGUCGGAGAGGAGGACCGGCCACACUGGAACUGAGACACGGUCCAGACUCCUACGGGAGGCGGAAGUGGGGAAUAUUGCACAUUGGGCGCAAGCCUGAUGCAGCCAUGCCGCGUGUAUGAAGAGGGCCUUCGGGUUGUAAAGUACUUUCAGCGGGUAGGCGUUACCCGCAGAAGAAGCACCGGCUAACUCCGUGCCAGCAGCCGCGGUAAUAC